GUGGGGAAUUUUGGACAAUGGGCGCAAGCCUGAUCCAGCAAUGCCGCGUGCAGGAAGAAGGCCUUCGGGUUGUAAACUGCUUUUGUACGGAACGAAAAGGCUCUGGUUAAUACCUGGGGCUCAUGACGGUACCGUAAGAAUAAGCACCGGCUAACUACGUGCCAGCAGCCGCGGUAAUACGUAGGGUGCAAGCGUUAAUCGGAAUUACUGGGCGUAAAGCGUGCGCAGGCGGUUUUGUAAGACAGGCGUGAAAUCCCCGGGCUCAACCUGGGAAUGGCGCUUGUGACUGCAAGGCUGGAGUGCGGCAGAGGGGGAUGGAAUUCCGCGUGUAGCAGUGAAAUGCGUAGAUAUGCGGAGGAACACCGAUGGCGAAGGCAAUCCCCUGGGCCUGCACUGACGCUCAUGCACGAAAGCGUGGGGAGCAAACAGGAUUAGAAACCCCUGUAGUCC
RNAcentral lists this ribosomal RNA (450 nucleotides) under uncultured bacterium. RNAcentral's name for it is "partial 16S ribosomal RNA". It matches the Rfam family "Bacterial small subunit ribosomal RNA", at positions 354 to 796 of the family's 1533-position model. The record is from RNAcentral.